Molecule: long non-coding RNA, 273 nt
Filed under: Pan troglodytes (chimpanzee)
Lineage: Eukaryota; Metazoa; Chordata; Mammalia; Primates; Hominidae
Description: long non-coding RNA NONPTRT017762
Source: RNAcentral
CCAUCAUAUGUUUUUAGUUAUGAAAGCCACCACUCUAGGUAACAAUGAUAAUAGUCAUUCGUAACACAGUGUUGCUGCGUGCCAGGCACAAUUCUAAGCAUUUUGACUAAAUUAAUUUUUGCAAUAGUCCUCUGAGUUUGAUAUUAUUAUAGUCUCCAUCUCCUCAUGAGGAACCUGAGGCUCAGAGAGGUUGAGAAACCUGUACAGUAGAGAGUUUUCAGUUUCUUCUCUAAAUUGUGGGCCAGCAUCCCUUCCUUCCUGAACUGCUCUCCU